CCUAAAGGCGAAAUGAAAGUGAAAGCAAGGCCUUGUGCCACCAAGGGAAGAUGGGUUAUGCAUUAAAAUAUAACCCCGCACUCCCGGGGCGUCUCAUUCUCAUUGCGAGAGGAGGCGCACCAAGAGCGUACAUGUUGGGACCCGAAAGAUGGUGAACUAUGCCUGGUUAGGAUGAAGUCAGGGGAAACCCUGAUGGAGGUCCGUAGCGAUUCUGACGUGCAAAUCGAUCGUCGAAACUGGGUAUAGGGGCGAAAGACUAAUCGAACCAUCUAGUAGCUGGUUCCCUCCGAAGUUUCCCUCAGGAUAGCUGGCACUCAUAAUGUUCUAAUGGACAAUAAAAGAGUCUCAUCUGGUAAAGCGAAUGAUUAGAGGCAUUGGGGUCGAAACGACCUCAACCUAUUCUCAAACUUUAAAUGGGUGAGAUCUCUGGCUUUCUUGAAGUCAAAUUUUUUGAAGCCAGAGCUUUUACGUUUAUGGAUCAGAGUGCCAAGUGG
Molecule: ribosomal RNA, 494 nt
Filed under: Minanga serrata
Lineage: Eukaryota; Metazoa; Arthropoda; Insecta; Hymenoptera; Braconidae
Description: eukaryotic LSU rRNA
Rfam family: Eukaryotic large subunit ribosomal RNA
Source: RNAcentral